UCCGAUAUACCUUCUCGUCCUUGAAUCUUUAACACGACACAAUUAUUCGAAAUAAAAUGCUAUUUAAAAAUUGAAUGAAGACAACAACGUGAGAACUUUAAAUCUAAAAAAUCAAUCAGUUGCAAAACAAAAACGAAUAAAAUUUCAUCUCCAUUCCCUUCCAUUAUACAUACAUGCUAUACUAUGUGUUAUAUCCCAUAACAAAUUACCUUAAAACGAAAAGAUGAUUGAUCUACUACGCUGCAACUUAAAACAAAAUCAGGAAAAUGAAAAUACGUUCACCAGAAUAAUGCAAUUAAGGGGAAAAAAAUAUAAAAAAAUUAAAUUAAAGUUAUUUGCAUACAUUGUAUAUAGUUACGUUGGUUCCGAAUCAAUAAUCCGUGCUCCAAAGAGAUCCACGUGUAUACCAGUCAAGUCUUCAAAAGAAGAGAUAUGCUACUUUGUAGAGAAAGAAGAUGCAUUCUCCCGUUUCUGCGAGAUGGCCGACGUAGAGAGGCUUGAAUCUAUCUUAACGACGCCCACGGAUAUUUUAGAACAACGAUCGAGGGGUCUUCCAUGGUCGUUGUGGAACCGCAUUCGUCCUGAUCUCCUUGACCGCCGGCGUCAGAUUCCCAAUUCGCGAAAGAAGAGAAGAAGUGAUGAAGAGAAAAGUCGACGAGAGAACUUUAGUUCAAAAUUUUUGGCUAUGGUUUUAUGAUUAUAAAAUCUGUCAAUUAUGAAUAAUACAAGUACAACACCUAGUAAUUAUAUAAAUGGUAAAUAGCACUUUAACCCUCAUGUGUUGCAAGCUUUUGCAGAUGACCUCAUUGUGCUCGUAAUAUCAGCACAUAACCCCCUUGUGGUUUAGGAGGUAGCUUCCGUUAGUUUUUCCAUCAAACUUAACUGUUCGUGUCAAACUUCAAGGGAUUUAUCUGCAAAAAUGAAAGGGAAAAUGUAAGCACAAUGGGGUCAUCUGUAAAAAAAAUACUUUAAAAUUUGACACAGACGGUUAAGUUAAUUAGACAGAAAAACUAUCGGAAACUACUCCCUAAACCACAAGGAGUUUAUGUGUUGAUAUUACGAGCACAAGGAAGUCAUCUGCAAAAGAGCUAUUUAACCACAUGGGAGUUGAGUACUAUUUACCCUUAGGGUCCAUUUGGAUGGAGGGAUUUGGAGGAGGGAUUUCAAAUCCAUAAUAACAAAUUCCUGGGACUUGUUUGGAUUGAGGGAUUUGACGAUGAAUUUCAAAUCCACACCCCUCCUUUUUAGUUGUUUUUGGAGCAAUUGGUGUGGAUUUCAAAUGACUCCAAAUUUGGAGUCAUUCCAAAUCCCUUCCCCAAAUCAAAUCCUCCUCCAAAUCCCUCCAUCCAAACGCACUCCUAGAUAAAUAUUAAUUUAACUAAACAAUCAAGGACGGUUUCACUAAUAUUGAAAAAUAAUGUUAAUCCAUCAUAAUAUACCCUAAUGUGUUG
This 1451-nucleotide long non-coding RNA is filed under the name Erythranthe guttata (spotted monkey flower). RNAcentral's name for it is "long non-coding RNA (EGUT_LNC001492)". The record is from RNAcentral. Lineage: Eukaryota; Viridiplantae; Streptophyta; Magnoliopsida; Lamiales; Phrymaceae.